UACGUAGGUGGCAAGCGUUGUCCGGAUUUACUGGGCGUAAAGAGCGCGCAGGCGGUCGUUCAAGUCGCGUGUGAAAGCCCCCGGCUCAACUGGGGAGGGUCACGCGAUACUGAUCGACUCGAAGGCAGGAGAGGGUAGUGGAAUUCCUGGUGUAGCGGUGAAAUGCGCAGAUAUCAGGAGGAACACCAAUGGCGAAGGCAGCUCGCUGGGACGUGACUGACGCUGAGACGCGAAAGCGUGGGGAGCAAACAGG
Molecule: ribosomal RNA, 253 nt
Filed under: uncultured bacterium
Lineage: Bacteria
Description: partial 16S ribosomal RNA
Rfam family: Bacterial small subunit ribosomal RNA
Source: RNAcentral